AUGCCUGGCCCAGGCCUGAUGGCUGUCACCCACCCUGUCCUCUGGUCCCCGCAACCGCGGAGUGGGACCCACAGAGGCGUCGCGGUCACACCCCACAAGGCCCCUGACGUGUGGGGCUCACCCCACGCACCUCCUCCCGCUCGGCUCCUCACACAGCCGCUCGGCAGCGUGUCACAGCGCUCUCUCCUCACACGCGCCACGUUCUGUCCUCGUUUCACACAGCGUCGUGUGCGGCUGCGCGCGGCCCGUCAGAGUUCUGCAAACCCGAGGCCGCCGGUGCGCUGCUCACGCACACACUCACACACACGCGCACACACACACACACACGGUAUCACGCGUGGUCACAGCACAGCGCCGCCCGGCGCACACAAUGGCACCCGUUGCGCUUCUGACACACACAGCGUCAAACCAUCGCAGUGUCCCUCACACCCGCGGCGCGUCGGGACCCCUCAGGACCAGACCCAGGCUCGCGCGGCUGGUCUUUCAGAAACCAUGUCCCCUGCGAUGGCCACUCACACCCAGAGACCACGCGUGCAGCUUCUGUCUCACACACACACACACACACACACACAGGAUGUCAUUCGUGGUGGCUCUGACGUAUAUACAGUAUCUGCCACACACACCGGUGUUACAAAGCCACGGGCAGUGUCACACAGUUUCUCUCCUGUGCAAGUCCAGCCUCACAUGCAGUCACACAAACUGGUUUUAGCCGGUUCUCUCACACACGCACAACCCCCCCAUGCAGUGUCACCCACGCAGCAUGUCCCACUCAGUUUGUCUCUCACACACGUCCAGCGUCACCCACGGUUGCACUCGCGUUUCCCUCUAUCACUUCCUGUCCUUUCGGGCCUGGCAGGGAGCACAGGAAACAAUCAGCACUCUAGGAAACCUCAAGGGCUGAGGCUUUGGGGACCUGCGGAGGGACAGAGAUUCUCUGGCCUCCAGCCUCCGGUGGGCCCCUUCGAGGACAGGCGAAGCCCGUUCCCCUCUCGGGUCCUCCACGGAGGGGCAGCACCUCUCCUGCAGACAAGCCCAGGCUGGCACAACACCGGGACAGAGGUGAGGGCAGGGCAAGGCCUGGAGGACAGGCCUGAGAGUGAUCUGCUGACCUCCUGCCAUGGCCCCAGGGCUGCCCCAGAAGUCCACGGGGACCUGGACCCCACGGCUUCUGCAGCCCCCACACGGGAAGAGACAGGGACCUCCUAG
RNAcentral lists this long non-coding RNA (1206 nucleotides) under Ursus thibetanus thibetanus. RNAcentral describes it as "lncRNA (ENSUTTG00000018116.1)". The record is from RNAcentral. Lineage: Eukaryota; Metazoa; Chordata; Mammalia; Carnivora; Ursidae.